Molecule: ribosomal RNA, 460 nt
Filed under: uncultured bacterium
Lineage: Bacteria
Description: partial 16S ribosomal RNA
Rfam family: Bacterial small subunit ribosomal RNA
Source: RNAcentral
CCUACGUGAGGCUGCAGUGAGGAAUAUUGGUCAAUGGACGAGAGUCUGAACCAGCCAAGUAGCGUGAAGGAUGACUGCCCUAUGGGUUGUAAACUUCUUUUAUAAAGGAAUAAAACGAGGCACGUGUGCCUUUUUGCAUGUACUUUAUGAAUAAGGAUCGGCUAACUCCGUGACAGAAGCCGCGGUAAUACGGAGGAUCCGAGCGUUAUCCGGAUUUAUUGGGUUUAAAGGGAGCGUAGAUGGGUUGUUAAGUCAGUUGUGAAAGUUUGCGGCUCAACCGUAAAAUUGCAAUUGAUACUGGCAGUCUUGAGUACAGUUGAGGUAGGCGGAAUUCGUGGUGUAGCGGUGAAAUGCUUAGAUAUCACGAAGAACCCCGAUUGCGAAGGCAGCUUACUAAACUGUGACUGACAUUGAUGCUCGAAAGUGUGGGUAUCAAACAGGAUUAGAUACCCUUGUAGUC